AACGCGAAGAACCUUACCUACUCUUGACAUCCAGAGAAGCCAGCGGAGACGCAGGUGUGCCUUCGGGAGCUCUGAGACAGGUGCUGCAUGGCUGUCGUCAGCUCGUGUUGUGAAAUGUUGGGUUAAGUCCCGCAACGAGCGCAACCCUUAUCCUUGUUUGCCAGCGAGUAAUGUCGGGAACUCCAGGGAGACUGCCGGUGAUAAACCGGAGGAAGGUGGGGACGACGUCAAGUCAUCAUGGCCCUUACGAGUAGGGCUACACACGUGCUACAAUGGCGCAUACAGAGGGCAGCCAACUUGCGAAAGUGAGCGAAUCCCAAAAAGUGCGUCGUAGUCCGGAUUGGAGUCUGCAACUCGACUCCAUGAAGUCGGAAUCGCUAGUAAUCGUAGAUCAGAAUGCUACGGUGAAUACGUUCCCGGGCCUUGUACACACCGCCCGUCACACCAUGGGAGUGGGCUGCAAAAGAAGUGGGUAGUUUAACCUUCGGGAGGACGCUCACCACUUUGUGGUUCAUGACUGGGGUGAAGUCGUAACAAGGUAACC
This 544-nucleotide ribosomal RNA is filed under the name Vibrio sp. FG4. RNAcentral's name for it is "bacterial SSU rRNA". It matches the Rfam family "Bacterial small subunit ribosomal RNA", at positions 958 to 1501 of the family's 1533-position model. The record is from RNAcentral. Lineage: Bacteria; Pseudomonadati; Pseudomonadota; Gammaproteobacteria; Vibrionales; Vibrionaceae.